RNAcentral lists this unclassified non-coding RNA (365 nucleotides) under soil metagenome. RNAcentral describes it as "partial contains 5.8S ribosomal RNA, internal transcribed spacer 2, and large subunit ribosomal RNA". The stretch from base 1 to 120 matches the Rfam family "5.8S ribosomal RNA", at positions 35 to 154 of the family's 154-position model. The record is from RNAcentral.
GAUGAAGAACGCAGCGAAAUGCGAUAAGUAAUGUGAAUUGCAGAAUUCAGUGAACCAUCGAAUCUUUGAACGCACAUUGCGCCCGCCAGUACUCUGGCGGGCAUGCCUGUUCGAGCGUCAUUUCAACCCUCAAGCCCCCGGGCUUGGUGUUGGGGAUCGACACAAGGCGGAGGCUCCCCCGGGAGCCCCCCCGCCCGCCGUCCCCCAAAUGCAGUGGCGGUCACGUCGCGGCCCCCCGUGCGUAGUAGCAACACCUCGCACCGGAGCCCGUCGUGCCCACGCCGUAAAACCCCCGACUUUUACAAGGUUGACCUCGAAUCAGGUAGGACUACCCGCUGAACUUAAGCAUAUCAAUAAGCGGAGGA